Molecule: transfer RNA, 65 nt
Filed under: Dipodomys ordii (Ord's kangaroo rat)
Lineage: Eukaryota; Metazoa; Chordata; Mammalia; Rodentia; Heteromyidae
Rfam family: tRNA
About the family: Transfer RNA (tRNA) molecules are approximately 80 nucleotides in length. Their secondary structure includes four short double-helical elements and three loops (D, anti-codon, and T loops). Further hydrogen bonds mediate the characteristic L-shaped molecular structure. tRNAs have two regions of fundamental functional importance: the anti-codon, which is responsible for specific mRNA codon recognition, and the 3' end, to which the tRNAs corresponding amino acid is attached (by aminoacyl-tRNA synthetases). tRNAs cope with the degeneracy of the genetic code in two manners: having more than one tRNA (with a specific anti-codon) for a particular amino acid; and 'wobble' base-pairing, i.e. permitting non-standard base-pairing at the 3rd anti-codon position.
Source: Rfam by way of RNAcentral
GGUGGUUUAGUGGUAGAAUACUUGCCUUGCAUGCAUGAGGCCCUGGGUUCAAUUCCUCAGCACCA